AGUGAACGCUGGCGGUAGGCCUAACACAUGCAAGUCGAACGGCAGCACAGUAAGAGCUUGCUCUUACGGGUGGCGAGUGGCGGACGGGUGAGGAAUACAUCGGAAUCUACUUUUUCGUGGGGGAUAACGUAGGGAUACUUACGCUAAUACCGCAUACGACCUACGGGUGAAAGCAGGGGAUCUUCGGACCUUGCGCGAUUGAAUGAGCCGAUGUCGGAUUAGCUAGUUGGCGGGGUAAAGGCCCACCAAGGCGACGAUCCGUAGCUGGUCUGAGAGGAUGAUCAGCCACACUGGAACUGAGACACGGUCCAGACUCCUACGGGAGGCAGCAGUGGGGAAUAUUGGACAAUGGGCGCAAGCCUGAUCCAGCUAUACCGCGUGGGUGAAGAAGGCCUUCGGGUUGUAAAGCCCUUUUGUUGGGAAAGAAAAGCAGCAGGUUAAUACCCCGCUGUUCUGACGGUACCCAAAGAAUAAGCACCGGCUAACUUCGUG
Molecule: ribosomal RNA, 492 nt
Filed under: uncultured bacterium
Lineage: Bacteria
Description: partial 16S ribosomal RNA
Rfam family: Bacterial small subunit ribosomal RNA
Source: RNAcentral